Molecule: transfer RNA, 72 nt
Filed under: Fomitopsis pinicola
Lineage: Eukaryota; Fungi; Basidiomycota; Agaricomycetes; Polyporales; Fomitopsidaceae
Also listed under: 1 other name
Description: tRNA-Val
Rfam family: tRNA
About the family: Transfer RNA (tRNA) molecules are approximately 80 nucleotides in length. Their secondary structure includes four short double-helical elements and three loops (D, anti-codon, and T loops).
Source: RNAcentral
GGGUGGUUGGCAGAGUGGAUCAUGCAGUAAUUUUACACAUUAUCUAUGGGGGUUCGAAUCCUCCACCACUUA